GAUUGCUGGUUGCUUAACGUCCAGUGGCAAAUAUUUCAUGCAUAUUCAGGACGAGAACAAGUUCACAAUAAAUACUGUAGGUAGGUCUUGAAAUAAUAGAGGCCAUCUGGGAUGAUGGUCGGGGAAAUUUGGACUGCCACUGGAAAAUGAGGGUAUAUUGGAUAGGGACAGAAAUUUUUCCUUGCAACAGGCCACCUACGGACCCCUCAAAGAGUUGUUGCAAGGGUUCUUAACGUGCAAAGAGCGUGGCACUCUCCUUACACGAGGCAUUAGAUUUAACGUCCCCAAUCUAACCGGACGUGAC
RNAcentral lists this long non-coding RNA (304 nucleotides) under Mytilus galloprovincialis (Mediterranean mussel). The record is from RNAcentral. Lineage: Eukaryota; Metazoa; Mollusca; Bivalvia; Mytilida; Mytilidae.